Molecule: ribosomal RNA, 473 nt
Filed under: Actinomyces sp. oral taxon E75
Lineage: Bacteria; Bacillati; Actinomycetota; Actinomycetes; Actinomycetales; Actinomycetaceae
Description: bacterial SSU rRNA
Rfam family: Bacterial small subunit ribosomal RNA
Source: RNAcentral
GACGAACGCUGGCGGCGUGCUUAACACAUGCAAGUCGAACGGUGAAGCGCCUUCCUUUUUGGGGGGUGUGGAUGAGUGGCGAACGGGUGAGUAACACGUGAGUAACCUGCCCCCUUCUUCUGGAUAACCGCAUGAAAGUGUGGCUAAUACGGGAUAUUCUGGGUCUGUCGCAUGAUGGGUCCGGGAAAGGUUUUUUCUGGUGGGGGAUGGGCUCGCGGCCUAUCAGCUUGUUGGUGGGGUGAUGGCCUACCAAGGCGGUGACGGGUAGCCGGCCUGAGAGGGUGGACGGUCACACUGGGACUGAGACACGGCCCAGACUCCUACGGGAGGCAGCAGUGGGGAAUAUUGCACAAUGGGCGCAAGCCUGAUGCAGCGACGCCGCGUGAGGGAUGGAGGCCUUCGGGUUGUGAACCUCUUUCGCCAGUGAAGCAGGCCUGCCUCGUUUGUGGGGUGGAAGACGGAGCUGAUAAGAA